GUCCCGCUGCAAAGCUUUCUCUGGUCCUUCUGGGAUCAUCAUCUAGGUAUCAUUGCCUGCCAGACUUCCAUCAUCUCUUGUCAGUCACCGCGGUUGCCUCGUCCACCAGACGCUGUAGUCUCCUUCCGUGGUAUAGUCACCGGCCCUGGAGCAGUGCUAAACCUCCGUGGGGUUCUUCAGGCAGAUUCUCUCCUUUGGAAUGACCCAAAGGCAACAAGAGGAAUUUUUUUAAAUUACAGGCUCCAUUAACUGCGUAGCAAAGACACACACGAAAAACUUCCUCACCUAAUGGAGCAGGAGGUGUUACCACUGCAGCCGGGGGGCCCACAGGGACUGUUCUCCGAGGAGGAGAAGAGCAAAAGUGGAAGACACUGAAGACAAAGACAGC
This 388-nucleotide long non-coding RNA is filed under the name Fukomys damarensis (Damara mole-rat). RNAcentral's name for it is "lncRNA (ENSFDAG00000030871.1)". The record is from RNAcentral. Lineage: Eukaryota; Metazoa; Chordata; Mammalia; Rodentia; Bathyergidae.